AACGAACGCUGGCGGCAUGCCUAACACAUGCCAGUCGAACGAGACCUUCGGGUCUAGUGGCGCACGGGUGCGUAAUGCGUGGGAACCUGCCCUUAGGUUCGGAAUAACUCCCCGAAAGGGGUGCUAAUACCGGAUAAUGUCUUCGGACCAAAGAUUUAUCGCCUUUGGAUGGGCCCGCGUUGGAUUAGCUAGUUGGUAGGGUAAAAGCCUACCAAGGCGACGAUCCAUAGCUGGUCUGAGAGGAUGAUCAGCCACACUGGGACUGAGACACGGCCCAGACUCCUACGGGAGGCAGCAGUGGGGAAUAUUGGACAAUGGGCGAAAGCCUGAUCCAGCAAUGCCGCGUGAGUGAUGAAGGCCUUAGGGUUGUAAAGCUCUUUUACCCGGGAUGAUAAUGACAGUACCGGGAGAAUAAGCUCCGGCUAACUCCGUG
This 433-nucleotide ribosomal RNA is filed under the name uncultured bacterium. RNAcentral's name for it is "partial 16S ribosomal RNA". It matches the Rfam family "Bacterial small subunit ribosomal RNA", at positions 29 to 507 of the family's 1533-position model. The record is from RNAcentral.